UACGGGAGGCAGCAGUGGGGAAUAUUGCACAAUGGGCGCAAGCCUGAUGCAGCCAUGCCGCGUGUAUGAAGAAGGCCUUCGGGUUGUAAAGUACUUUCAGUCGUGAGGAAGGUGUUAAGGUUAAUAACCUUAGCAAUUGACGUUAGCGACAGAAGAAGCACCGGCUAACUCCGUGCCAGCAGCCGCGGUAAUACGGAGGGUGCGAGCGUUAAUCGGAAUUACUGGGCGUAAAGGGCACGCAGGCGGUUAAUUAAGUUGGAUGUGAAAUCCCCGGGCUUAACCUGGGAAUGGCAUUCAAGACUGGUUAGCUAGAGUCUUGUAGAGGGGGUAGAAUUCCGAUGUGUAGCGGUGAAAUGCGUAGAGAUGUGGAGGAAUACCGGUGGCGAAGGCGGCCCCUGGGACAAAGACUGACGCUCAUGUGCGAAAGCGUGGGGAGCAAAC
Molecule: ribosomal RNA, 441 nt
Filed under: uncultured bacterium
Lineage: Bacteria
Description: bacterial SSU rRNA
Rfam family: Bacterial small subunit ribosomal RNA
Source: RNAcentral